RNAcentral lists this ribosomal RNA (461 nucleotides) under Bacillus sp. RKBH-B116. RNAcentral's name for it is "bacterial SSU rRNA". It matches the Rfam family "Bacterial small subunit ribosomal RNA", at positions 1 to 455 of the family's 1533-position model. Lineage: Bacteria; Bacillati; Bacillota; Bacilli; Caryophanales; Bacillaceae. The record is from RNAcentral.
CCAUAGAGUUUGAUCCUGGCUCAGGACGAACGCUGGCGGCGUGCCUAAUACAUGCAAGUCGAGCGGAUCGAUGGGAGCUUGCUCCCUGAGAUCAGCGGCGGACGGGUGAGUAACACGUGGGUAACCUGCCUGUAAGACUGGGAUAACUCCGGGAAACCGGGGCUAAUACCGGAUAACACCUACCCCCGCAUGGGGGAAGGUUGAAAGGUGGCUUCGGCUAUCACUUACAGAUGGACCCGCGGCGCAUUAGCUAGUUGGUGAGGUAACGGCUCACCAAGGCGACGAUGCGUAGCCGACCUGAGAGGGUGAUCGGCCACACUGGGACUGAGACACGGCCCAGACUCCUACGGGAGGCAGCAGUAGGGAAUCUUCCGCAAUGGACGAAAGUCUGACGGAGCAACGCCGCGUGAGUGAAGAAGGUUUUCGGAUCGUAAAACUCUGUUGUUAGGGAAGAACCAAGU